GACUGUGUAGCCAAGUGGAAAGGCAAUGGACUGCAACUCCAUGAGCGCAGGUUCGACUCCUGUCACAGUCUCCA
This 74-nucleotide transfer RNA is filed under the name Ruminococcus flavefaciens. RNAcentral's name for it is "tRNA_Cys_GCA". It matches the Rfam family "tRNA". Rfam says of the family: Transfer RNA (tRNA) molecules are approximately 80 nucleotides in length. The record is from RNAcentral. Lineage: Bacteria; Bacillati; Bacillota; Clostridia; Eubacteriales; Oscillospiraceae. RNAcentral also lists the same sequence under 1 other name.